Molecule: long non-coding RNA, 948 nt
Filed under: Elaeis guineensis (African oil palm)
Lineage: Eukaryota; Viridiplantae; Streptophyta; Magnoliopsida; Arecales; Arecaceae
Description: long non-coding RNA (EGUI_LNC026839)
Source: RNAcentral
ACAACAAAGGUGGCUUCCUUUGUCCUUACCAUAAAGCUAUCUAGAAACUUGCAGUGCCUAAAAAAAAUCAAAGUCUGUGCUGUUGGAUUGCACGUGUUAGUACUUUAUUAUUCCAUACAUCUUUUUUCACCUUUUGAAUUUGUUGCUUAAUAAAAUAGGGGGAAGCUCUUCGCUUCCUCCUUUUCCACUCAAAAAGAAAAAAAAAGAAAAGAAAAUCAAAGUCUUCCUUUGGCUUGUUUUAAAAAAACAAACAUCACAUUGGGGAGGUAUUAGCUAGGAAAGGAUGGUCGGUGAGCGUAGGUUGCCAUCUCUGCGGCGGCACUAAGGAGACUAGCUCUCAUAUUUUUCUUAGAUGCACCUUCACUAAAAGCAUUUGGACCACCUUCAAAACUUGUGUCAAUAUUAGAGGUUGGCCAAUCAAUUUUGAAUUCCUUCUGGACCACUUGGAGGAUAAAGAAAUUUCAGCUUUCCUUGAGAAAACCUUGAGAUUGAUCAGCUUCUAAUGGCUUUGUUUCGGCACUGUAGCUUGACAGGAAUGGUAGCAUUUUCCUUCGCAAGCAGCACUCUUUAUCUUCUCAAUCCUAAAGAAAACCCUCCACACAUUUCAUCUUUGGAAGAAUUGGCUCUUGGAUCCACCACUUGAAUUCUAUGUCGAGCUAAUCACUGAAGAUUUGUUCAAUUCUACGAAGAGACCACUUCCGCUUAGCUGCCAUAGAGUAAAUGUCUUUAUAAAGGAAGCUAAGAGAAGUUGCACCAAUCCACGAAUCUUUUGAUAUCCUCUUCAUUAUCAAAUCUGAAAGAGAUGCAAUUCUAGAAACACUUGUGCUCAUCAACAAAUGGAACAAUGGUAGAGUUUGAUGGUUCUUCUCUCCCCAAUCCGGCCUUCAAGAAUUGCUAAUUUCCUGAUUUGGACUGAAAGCUUACUGGCAUUAAUGGCUCCUUCACGAU